This 1654-nucleotide long non-coding RNA is filed under the name Ananas comosus (pineapple). RNAcentral describes it as "long non-coding RNA (ACOM_LNC023907)". Lineage: Eukaryota; Viridiplantae; Streptophyta; Magnoliopsida; Poales; Bromeliaceae. The record is from RNAcentral.
AAUAUUACUCACAUAUUCGAAUAAAAAAUCAUCAUCACCGAUCCGAUUCGCAUUCAUUCAAGAUUUUCUCUUGUAUAAUUCAUUUCAUUCAUAAUUUCAUCAUAAAUGGAUUAUCUACGUACGACGGAACUUUUCCUUUUCUGUUUUUCCAGAGGUUAUAUAUAUGAGGAAUGCUUCAAUACACCAUAAGUAUUAAAAUUUAAUUCCUAAAUUAGUAAAGGGUAUAGUUGGGAUUUACACGAAGUAACCUGUCGAACAGGUUACCGAUUUGAAUUAAUUAACAUGACAAUAUUGAAAAAAAAUUAGUAUAUACCAAAUUUGUCAGUAUUCUUUAAAUAUUAAAUAUCUUAUUUACUUUGAUAACUUACCAAAUUAGAUGAUACCCAAUUUAUUAAGUAUUCAACUCAAAAAAAUAUUGAAUUUAAAUUUAAUUUUUGAAAUUAGUAUUGUAAUGUAAAAUUUUAAUUUUGAAAUUUAUAUUAAACUUUUAAAUUUGAAUCUAAAUUGAACGUUUAAUCUUAAAGCCAAAUUUUAAUUUUUGAUUUAAAUUGAAAUUUUGAAUUGGAACAAAAAGUUUUAUUUUAAAUUUAUGUUUUAUAUUCAAAAAAAUUAAAUUUGAUUUAUAUAGUUUUAAAUGUUGUUUUAAAUUUAAAUUUACAGUUUGGUUGUAAUUUAAAAUUCAACUAUUGUUGUAGGUAUUUAAGAGGGUCACAAUAUUCUUAGUUGGAUAAAACCGGUUUUGUGGACCAAACUAUUUUACAAAGACUAAAAUACCCUUUAAAUGGAUACCUGGUGAAUGGUACCUAUGCUUCAAUAGCAGGUCACCUCUAGAAUUAUAUUAAAUCUAAACCAUCUAUUAAGAAAAAUAAAUGGUCAAGAUUUAUAUGGAGUAUUGAAGUAUUCCUCUAUAUAUAAUUCACAUAGUAAUAAUUUUUGUGGGUCUAUUUUCUUUUGUUAUUAAACAUGAGUCGAAAAUUUCUUUGAGUUUGUGUAAUUUUUGCAAUCGGUAAGAGAAAUCUUUGAACAGCCAUAAUUUUUUCUCGAAUAUCCGAUUUCAACGUGCAAUCCCUGUUGGGGAAAUAUGAAUGGAGAUCAAGUAAAUUAUGGCCUUGAGGCGUGUAAGUUCACUUUCUUUAAGGUAUUAUUUAUCCCCACUCGAAUGUAUGCUGUUGGGUUACCAGCAAAUCACCUCUAGGAUACAACAAGACCGCCGAAAGAUUGCAAACAACACUUUUGAAGACUUUCCCUUAAGAACUUCUCUCUUAAGCAUUAAUAUGAAAAUUAUGAAGGAGAAAGUAUUGAUUAUGUUGCCUUGAAGCCUUCAAACAUCUCCUAUUUAUAGAAAGUGAAUGGUUACGAUGAAAGGAUACAACUCUAAAGUUAUAUCCUUUCACAAAAGGACACAUCCUUUCACGAAUAACGAAUAGACAUACUCUUUCACAAAGGUUCAUAUCUUUUCGUGAAGAAAACAUAUCUCUUUGUGAAGAGACACAUCUUUUCAUUAAAUGAAGAGACGAAUCCUUUCAUAAGAUUAACUAUUUUAUGAACAGACACAACUAUUCACCAAUCUCACUUCCACUAUUACAAUCUACACUAAUAAUUCCCGACUAGAUUGUAAUACUGAUUUAAAAUAGACGUAUGCAUACAAGAAUGA